This 499-nucleotide ribosomal RNA is filed under the name uncultured bacterium. RNAcentral describes it as "partial 16S ribosomal RNA". It matches the Rfam family "Bacterial small subunit ribosomal RNA", at positions 899 to 1397 of the family's 1533-position model. The record is from RNAcentral.
ACUCAAAUGAAUUGACGGGGACCCGCACAAGCGGUGGAUGAUGUGGAUUAAUUCGAUGCAACGCGAAAAACCUUACCUACCCUUGACAUGUCAGGAAGUCUUGAGAGAUUGAGAUGUGCCCGAAAGGGAACCUGAACACAGGUGCUGCAUGGCUGUCGUCAGCUCGUGUCGUGAGAUGUUGGGUUAAGUCCCGCAACGAGCGCAACCCUUGUCGUUAAUUGCCAUCAUUUAGUUGGGCACUUUAGCGAGACUGCCGGUGACAAACCGGAGGAAGGUGGGGAUGACGUCAAGUCCUCAUGGCCCUUAUGGGUAGGGCUUCACACGUCAUACAAUGGUCGGUACAAAGGGUCGCCAACCCGCGAGGGGGAGCCAAUCCCAGAAAGCCGAUCGUAGUCCGGAUUGCAGGCUGCAACUCGCCUGCAUGAAGUCGGAAUCGCUAGUAAUCGUGGAUCAGCAUGUCACGGUGAAUACGUUCCCGGGUCUUGUACACACCGCCCGU